Molecule: ribosomal RNA, 777 nt
Filed under: uncultured Fibrobacter sp.
Lineage: Bacteria; Pseudomonadati; Fibrobacterota; Fibrobacteria; Fibrobacterales; Fibrobacteraceae
Description: bacterial SSU rRNA
Rfam family: Bacterial small subunit ribosomal RNA
Source: RNAcentral
UUAAUGUCCAGGAGAGUGGCCCUCCGCAUGGAGGGUUGACUAGAGAUUUAUCGGUAUGGGAUGAGCUUGCGUCCGAUUAGCUAGUUGGCGGGGCAACGGCCCACCAAGGCGACGAUCGGUAGCCGGCCUGAGAGGGUGAUCGGCCACAUUGGGACUGAGAUACGGCCCAGACUCCUACGGGAGGCAGCAGUAGGGAAUAUUGCACAAUGGGGGAAACCCUGAUGCAGCAACGCCACGUGUGGGAAGAAGCAUUUCGGUGUGUAAACCACUGUCAUGAGGGAAUAAGGCCCGCCUCCGGGCGGGAUUGAAUGUACCUUGAGAGGAAGCACCGGCAAACUUCGUGCCAGCAGCCGCGGUAAUACGAGGGGUGCAAGCGUUGUUCGGAAUUACUGGGCGUAAAGGGAGCGUAGGCGGAGAUUCAAGCGGAUUGUACAAUCCCGGGGCCCAACCCCGGCUCUGCAGUCCGAACUGGAUCUCUUGGAUAGUUCAGGGGCAGGCGGAAUUCCUGGUGUAGCGGUGGAAUGCGUAGAGAUCAGGAAGAACACCGAUGGCGAAGGCAGCCUGCUGGGGACUUAUCGACGCUGAGGCUCGAAAGUGCGGGUAGCAAACAGGAUUAGAUACCCUGGUAGUCCGCACCGUAAACAAUGCAUACUGGGUGUCCGGGGGUUCCCCCGGGUACCGUAGCCAACGCGUUAAGUAUGCCGCCUGGGGAGUACGUACGCAAGUAUGAAACUCAAAGGAAUUGACGGGGGCCCGCACAAGCGGUGGAGCAUGUGG